RNAcentral lists this ribosomal RNA (757 nucleotides) under Lactobacillus casei group sp. Its description in RNAcentral is "bacterial SSU rRNA". It matches the Rfam family "Bacterial small subunit ribosomal RNA", at positions 32 to 753 of the family's 1533-position model. The record is from RNAcentral. Lineage: Bacteria; Bacillati; Bacillota; Bacilli; Lactobacillales; Lactobacillaceae.
AACGCUGGCGGCGUGCCUAAUACAUGCAAGUCGAACGAGUUCUCGUUGAUGAUCGGUGCUUGCACCGAGAUUCAACAUGGAACGAGUGGCGGACGGGUGAGUAACACGUGGGUAACCUGCCCUUAAGUGGGGGAUAACAUUUGGAAACAGAUGCUAAUACCGCAUAGAUCCAAGAACCGCAUGGUUCUUGGCUGAAAGAUGGCGUAAGCUAUCGCUUUUGGAUGGACCCGCGGCGUAUUAGCUAGUUGGUGAGGUAAUGGCUCACCAAGGCGAUGAUACGUAGCCGAACUGAGAGGUUGAUCGGCCACAUUGGGACUGAGACACGGCCCAAACUCCUACGGGAGGCAGCAGUAGGGAAUCUUCCACAAUGGACGCAAGUCUGAUGGAGCAACGCCGCGUGAGUGAAGAAGGCUUUCGGGUCGUAAAACUCUGUUGUUGGAGAAGAAUGGUCGGCAGAGUAACUGUUGUCGGCGUGACGGUAUCCAACCAGAAAGCCACGGCUAACUACGUGCCAGCAGCCGCGGUAAUACGUAGGUGGCAAGCGUUAUCCGGAUUUAUUGGGCGUAAAGCGAGCGCAGGCGGUUUUUUAAGUCUGAUGUGAAAGCCCUCGGCUUAACCGAGGAAGCGCAUCGGAAACUGGGAAACUUGAGUGCAGAAGAGGACAGUGGAACUCCAUGUGUAGCGGUGAAAUGCGUAGAUAUAUGGAAGAACACCAGUGGCGAAGGCGGCUGUCUGGUCUGUAACUGACGCUGAGGCU